GGGCGCGUAGCUCAGCGGGAGAGCAUCGCCUUCACACGGCGGGGGUCGUAGGUUCAAUCCCUACCGCGCCCACCA
This 75-nucleotide transfer RNA is filed under the name Nitrospirillum amazonense. RNAcentral describes it as "tRNA-Val". It matches the Rfam family "tRNA". From Rfam's summary of the family: Transfer RNA (tRNA) molecules are approximately 80 nucleotides in length. Their secondary structure includes four short double-helical elements and three loops (D, anti-codon, and T loops). Further hydrogen bonds mediate the characteristic L-shaped molecular structure. tRNAs have two regions of fundamental functional importance: the anti-codon, which is responsible for specific mRNA codon recognition, and the 3' end, to which the tRNAs corresponding amino acid is attached (by aminoacyl-tRNA synthetases). tRNAs cope with the degeneracy of the genetic code in two manners: having more than one tRNA (with a specific anti-codon) for a particular amino acid; and 'wobble' base-pairing, i.e. permitting non-standard base-pairing at the 3rd anti-codon position. Lineage: Bacteria; Pseudomonadati; Pseudomonadota; Alphaproteobacteria; Rhodospirillales; Azospirillaceae. The record is from RNAcentral. RNAcentral also lists the same sequence under 28 other names.